Molecule: non-coding RNA, 30 nt
Filed under: Rattus norvegicus (Norway rat)
Lineage: Eukaryota; Metazoa; Chordata; Mammalia; Rodentia; Muridae
Source: RNAcentral
UGACAAGUCCAACGUGCCAAUGGUGGGUUA